CUCGUGCGUCCAGUAGGGGGAGGCUGUGUCAUAUAUUAGAACAGCAGACCGUAUGAUAGCAGAGCAGACCUUGAAGCGAUACGAAUUGAGUGAGCGAGAGCACUUUGAUAGGCGGAUAAAAAACAUUGAAAGAGUGGCAAACCAGGAGAGUCAUCUACAGGAGUCAUGCUGUUAAGAAAUAACCAAGUCAUGGUGUUAAUAAUUCUUUUUGUGAACCACAAUAUUGUCUCUUUCUUUUAAAUGACCCUUGGAAUUUUAGAAAAGUUACAUUGUGUUUGUCUUCAUAAAAUGCUACGUAGGAUGUUUUGUAGCUGUAUGACGACCUGUGAAUUGUACAGCAGAUAUUUUAUUUAGGAUCCAUAAUUACACAGUUUAUGUCUAAUGGCCUAAAUAUGGUUAAUAUCCAAAUGUAACUUAAUAUAAAAUCACAACAUCAUAUAUCAGUCAGUCUCUUGUAUAUAAAAACAGUUUAUAAAUAAAUAUAAAUAGUUAAGUGUGACGUCAUCAUGCGCCUCUUCCGGGUCCAAUCGAUUUCAAAUGCCACAGGAAAACACGCUAAUAUACACUCGAAUCAUAAUCCCAAACUAUUUAAACCCAUGAUCCUUAUUUUUAGCUCCAAUAAUAAAAACCAAGAUGACCAGAUAUGGAUUUUUUACUGUCUGUGGUUCCGUAGUGUGCAGACUGCAGUGUAAGUUUAUACAAUUUUCGCUUAAAUGUGUAAUAUUAGUGCUCAUAAACGGUUGUUUAAAUAGGCUAGUAUCCUAGUUGUAUUUCCCUCUCCCCCUACUGGACGCAUGAGUAGCAACAGGGGCGCAAAACUGCCAGGGGCGCAAAACUGCCAGGGGCGUAGAUCUACCGGCUCCAGGUCUGCAGCCUCCCCAUAUAGGUUAUUUUACUUUCCCAGCCCCAGUUUUGCUGAUCCAAAAAUUAUUCCGUCUAUGAUUUCAAAAACGCAAUGUAAUCCAUUUAACCAAUAAGAUCAACCAAAGUCUGGCCUUGCCGCAGUGUUUCACAUUAAUCUGAGGGGUAAAAACCGUUAAGGGUUUGAGUUAAGGGUAAUUUGGGGUUUAUUUGAUUACAACCAGGAUAAGAUGAUUGUUGAUCCUGGAUUACAUCUUUGUCAAAUCACAGCGACCCUAUAAUGGGAGGGGGGCUUAGCUAGGGGACCCCCCAGCUUUGACAUUAUUCAAACACUGACACUACAGUAUCUGUCUGUCUGUCUACUAUUCUACCACACUGUAAGGCCCAUACAGGUUGAUUGAACCUAAAACAUUUAUGGAAACUCGUUGCCCUAAAAAAGUUAAUUUUGCCUGGUUUAAAUAACAAUUAAUUUUAAGUUUAAUGUACUUAAUGUUUUAAUUUCUUCCAAUAUUCCUGCACUCUUAACCCAGAUUCGAUGACAUUAUGUGUGAGGAAACCCAUUGCAUAUAACUUAAGUUUUUAUUACAUUUGAUGUUAUAAAUGGUUUUAUAACAAAAAUUAAUGACUGACUUUAAGUCAGUCAUUGAAUAAACGUGAUUCUCCACAGAAACACACAAAAAAUGUGUUUUGACAUACAUUGUCAGUACUGUGGAGAGAAAUAGAGUAAAAUGUUUUGAACAGGGUUCAUGUACGGAAACACUGAUCACCUGAAUGGUGCCUUCACAAAAUUAUAAUUUACAACAAAACAACAUCAAUAAUAUAAGAGCUUGAACCUAUAUGACAUUUUAUUAACAAAUAUUUGAGUACAGAAAGUUCUUAUCAGUUUUUAAUUUGUGAAAAAGCAGAAAAUAAUCAAAAUAUUCAGGCGCAAAGGAUUAUGGGUAUUCCUCACAACAUGAACUAAUAAUUUUAAGUUCAUUUUACUUGAAUGUUUUAGUUUAAUAGAUUUUGUAAGGUUAACAGUUAAAUCAACAAAUACAUUUAAGCUUUGGCUUCAAAACAGAAAAUAUUAAUGAUUUUUCCUUGAUUGUUUGAGUAAAGACAAUUUCUGGGUUAACAGUGCAUGAAUAACAUUACAGUUAAAUAAUCAAGUAAUAACUCUCUAUUAUUCAUUAUGAAAUUGUGUAAUCAGUUUAAUUAAAGAGAUUUUUUAUAAUAGUCAAACAAAAUAAAAGCAUAUUCAUGGCAAGC
Paramisgurnus dabryanus is the source of this 2112-nucleotide long non-coding RNA. RefSeq lists it as uncharacterized. The record is from RefSeq and is a predicted model, not a curated record. NCBI's taxonomy places the organism in Eukaryota, Metazoa, Chordata, Actinopteri, Cypriniformes, Cobitidae.